GGUCCGUUGGUCAAGGGGUUAAGACACCGCCUUUUCACGGCGGUAAAACGUGUUCGAAUCCCGUACGGACUA
Molecule: transfer RNA, 72 nt
Filed under: Streptococcus pneumoniae SP9-BS68
Lineage: Bacteria; Bacillati; Bacillota; Bacilli; Lactobacillales; Streptococcaceae
Description: tRNA-Glu
Rfam family: tRNA
About the family: Transfer RNA (tRNA) molecules are approximately 80 nucleotides in length. Their secondary structure includes four short double-helical elements and three loops (D, anti-codon, and T loops).
Source: RNAcentral